CAAUUACUAUGUGGAUUGCU
This 20-nucleotide microRNA is filed under the name Picea abies (Norway spruce). RNAcentral's name for it is "pab-miR11451". Lineage: Eukaryota; Viridiplantae; Streptophyta; Pinopsida; Pinales; Pinaceae. The record is from miRBase by way of RNAcentral.